Molecule: ribosomal RNA, 492 nt
Filed under: uncultured bacterium
Lineage: Bacteria
Description: partial 16S ribosomal RNA
Rfam family: Bacterial small subunit ribosomal RNA
Source: RNAcentral
AGUGAACGCUGGCGGUAGGCCUAACACAUGCAAGUCGAACGGCAGCACAGUAAGAGCUUGCUCUUACGGGUGGCGAGUGGCGGACGGGUGAGGAAUACAUCGGAAUCUACUUUUUCGUGGGGGAUAACGUAGGGAAACUUACGCUAAUACCGCAUACGACCUACGGGUGAAAGCAGGGGAUCUUCGGACCUUGCGCGAUUGAAUGAGCCGAUGUCGGAUUAGCUAGUUGGCGGGGUAAAGGCCCACCAAGGCGACGAUCCGUAGCUGGUCUGAGAGGAUGAUCAGCCACACUGGAACUGAGACACGGUUCAGACUCCUACGGGAGGCAGCAGUGGGGAAUAUUGGACAAUGGGCGCAAGCCUGAUCCAGCCAUACCGCGUGGGUGAAGAAGGCCUUCGGGUUGUAAAGCCCUUUUGUUGGGAAAGAAAAGCAGCAGGUUAAUACCCCGCUGCUCUGACGGUACCCAAAGAAUAAGCACCGGCUAACUUCGUG